CGUCCGCCCGCCCACCCUCGGGAACUCUCCCAGCAAAGAGGCUGCAGCGUUUCCAUCCCCAGCCAUGCUCCUGCUGCUCGCCUCAGUGCUGGGGCUUCACUUGGCCCUGAGAGACGCUGGAGCCCAGACAGUGACCCAGCCCGACGCCCACGUCUCUGUGUCUGAAGGAGAAGCUGUGGAGCUGAGGUGCAACUACUCCUACGGGGGAGUCGCUUAUCUGUCCUGGUACUUCCAGCUCCGCGGUCAAGGUCCUCAACUUGUACUCCUCAAGUACGUUUCUCAGGACGGCGUGAUUCAGGGCCUCCACGGUUUUGAGGCUGAGUUUAAGAGGAGCGAUUCUUCCUUCCACCUGAGGAAGCCCUCUGUGCACCUGAGCGAUGCUGCUUGGUACUGGUGUGCUGUGAGUGCCACAGCGCCUGGGGCUGCAGGGGGAGCAGUGCACAAACCACCCCUGAGUGCAGAGCUCAGAAACUCAGGAGCUCUUCGUGUGGGUUGAAGGAAAGAUUUCAGUUUACAUGAUGGCAGAUGAGACAGAGAGGGCUGGGCCUUACUUCUGUGCAAUUCCACUUCUGCUGUGCCCUGGGUCUCAAACACUUGGCACUCAUUUGCACAAU
This is a non-coding RNA of Ochotona princeps (American pika), 614 nucleotides long. Lineage: Eukaryota; Metazoa; Chordata; Mammalia; Lagomorpha; Ochotonidae. The record is from the annotation of a RefSeq genome assembly.